UUUUGAAUACAAAUUUUUUUCCCUAUCCUUAUGGUAGUUAAUUUUGGAACUCUUGGUUACAUAUCUGCAAUUUGGCAGUUGUUUUUGUAAAUGAUUGUGAGUGUUUUUCUUUUUUGGAUGUAAUAUUAGUUGAUCAACAUCUUUUCUAUUCAUAUCUUCUUAUCCUAGCUUCAGUUUGCAGACUUCAUCAUUCGGCAUCCCCUUGCUCAAGUAGUGGUGAAUCCUUUAUAAU
Molecule: unclassified non-coding RNA, 232 nt
Filed under: Hevea brasiliensis (rubber tree)
Lineage: Eukaryota; Viridiplantae; Streptophyta; Magnoliopsida; Malpighiales; Euphorbiaceae
Source: RNAcentral